Molecule: long non-coding RNA, 965 nt
Filed under: Apteryx haastii (Great spotted kiwi)
Lineage: Eukaryota; Metazoa; Chordata; Aves; Apterygiformes; Apterygidae
Description: lncRNA (ENSAHAG00000001574.1)
Source: RNAcentral
GGCUCCAUUCUCUUCAGCAUAUUGCAUCAUCUUCAACCAGAUGUCAAUAUUGAUUGCAUUCUUCCUGGUUCUUUAGGAACACACUGUGGCCUACCUAGUUAAACUUAGAGGUCUCUCCAGCAGCAGCACACGGGAUUUAUCGCUUCUCCUUUAACCCAGCUCGCGUGUCUGGCACUAGAAACUCUACCGAUCGCAAGUACCUUGUGUUCUCUUCCCUCACCGGGGAAACGGAGCGAUUUGGUGGCAGAAAUUAUGAGGAAAAUACACUUUUGUUAGUCCAAAGAAACACAAAUCGAGCACACCGAAAGGCUCCCCGGCCGUGCCGCGGGGCGGGCUCUGCAACGCACCAAUCACCGCGCGGCUCCUCGCUAAAAAUACGAGCAUCUGACCUGCGCCAGCCCAAUUGUGUUCGCCUGCUCCGCAGAGGACGCCUGCCGCGAUGUCCGAGACCGCUCCCGCCGCCGCGCCCGAUGCGCCCGCGCCCGGCGCCAAGGCCGCCGCCAAGAAGCCGAAGAAGGCGGCGGGCGGCUCCAAAGCCCGCAAGCCCUCGGGCCCCAGCGUCACCGAGCUGAUCACCAAGGCCGUGUCCGCCUCCAAGAAGCCGAAGAAGGCGGCGGGCGGCUCCAAAGCCCGCAAGCCCUCGGGCCCCAGCGUCACCGAGCUGAUCACCAAGGCCGUGUCCGCCUCCAAGGAGCGCAAGGGGCUCUCGCUGGCCACGCUCAAGAAGGCGCUGGCUGUUGGUGGCUACGACGUGGAGAAGAACAACAGCCGUAUUAUAGGUAAACGCGACAAAUUGACAACCACUCGGGCCAGGUUGCAUAAAUUCCAAUUUAAUAGAAUAAUUGAGCAAGUCACAAGUAAGCAAAACAGCGCUGGGCGGCCGGGGGGGAGUCUCCUGCUCCACCAACGGCGCGCGCAAUCCCCCGCUCACAGUCCCCUUAUAUGCCUGUAACUUCUGUGGUUGC